This 403-nucleotide ribosomal RNA is filed under the name uncultured bacterium. RNAcentral's name for it is "partial 16S ribosomal RNA". It matches the Rfam family "Bacterial small subunit ribosomal RNA", at positions 30 to 526 of the family's 1533-position model. The record is from RNAcentral.
AUUGAACGCUGGCGGCAGGCCUAACACAUGCAAGUCGAGCGAUCGGCGGACGGGUGAGUAAUGUAUGGGGACUGCCCGAUAGAGGGGGAUAACUACUGGAAACGGUGGCUAAUACCGCAUACUAUCGGAUAACCCAUAUGGGAUUAGCUAGUAGGUGGGGUAAAGGCGCACCUAGGCGACGAUCUCUAGCUGUUCUGAGAGGAUGAUCAGCAAAACUGUGAAUGAGACACGGACCAGACUCCUACGGAGGCAGCAGUGGGGAAUAUUGCACAAGGGGCGCAAGCCUGAUGCAGCCAUGCAGCGUGUAUGAAGAAGGCCUUAGGGUUGUAAAGUACAUUCAGCGGGGAGGCGUUACCCGCAGAAGAAGAACCGGCUAACUCCGUGCCAGCAGCCGCGGUAAUUC